RNAcentral lists this ribosomal RNA (268 nucleotides) under uncultured bacterium. RNAcentral's name for it is "partial 16S ribosomal RNA". It matches the Rfam family "Bacterial small subunit ribosomal RNA", at positions 86 to 354 of the family's 1533-position model. The record is from RNAcentral.
UAUAACUUAGUGGCGGACGGGUGAGUAACGCGUGGGUAACCUGCCGUAUACAGGGGGAUAACACUUAGAAAUAGGUGCUAAUACCGCAUAAGCGCACGGUUCCGCAUGGGACAGUGUGAAAAACCGAGGUGGUAUACGAUGGACCCGCGUCUGAUUAGCCAGUUGGCAGGGUAACGGCCUACCAAAGCGACGAUCAGUAGCCGGCCUGAGAGGGCGGACGGCCACAUUGGGACUGAGACACGGCCCAAACUCCUACGGAAGGCAGCAG